ACGUAGGGUGCAAGCGUUGUCCGGAUUUACUGGGCGUAAAGCGCUCGUAGGCGGUUUGUCAAGUGUGAAGUGAAAUCUCCAGGGCUCAACCCGGAAACUGCUUUUCAUACUGGCCAGCUGGAGGGACGCAGGGGUGACUGGAAUUCCCGGUGUAGCGGUGAAAUGCAUUGAUAUCGGGAGGAACUCCAACAGCGAAGGCAGGUCACUGGGCGUUUCCUGACGCUGAGGCGCGAAAGCGUGGGUAGCGAACAG
RNAcentral lists this ribosomal RNA (252 nucleotides) under uncultured prokaryote. Its description in RNAcentral is "partial 16S ribosomal RNA". It matches the Rfam family "Bacterial small subunit ribosomal RNA", at positions 525 to 775 of the family's 1533-position model. The record is from RNAcentral.